UUCAGAGGCAUUUGUGCCAUACAAAGGUGUUAUCAUGCAAAGACGUGUCAUUACUAUAAUUUGCUGCAACAAGCGAUAUACCAGUGGAACUUCAAAAUCCACAUGUCAUCAAGAAACAUCAGAUGUUUGUUUGAAUCCUCAAAACAGUACCCGACUCCGCAGUUUUAAAUUCUUCGAACAACGUGAACUACUUGACAAGCCUGGGUAUUGCAAUGGGUCCCUCUGUUCUCCAAUGUACGUCACUUCCGGUGAAAAAGCCACGAAAAAAAGCCAACUUUGAGGCCAAAAUGAACGAAUGCGUCAUCGAAGAAAGAAUGCGUCAACAGCGCGCCAUAAUUAAGCGCUCGACCGCAUCUGAAGCUUUACCUCCAAAGGUCGCAGAGAGUGUAACAAACGAAAACUGCUCACCGAGAAACAUUCUGCGAAAUGGUGCAACAUUGCUAAAGAAGCAAGAGAUCUUAGGUCUCGCCUACAGAAACAAACAUAUUACGCAGCACGGUUUUUACCCUGGGUGACACAUUGGACGAGACGAGGCAGCUCGUCGUGAAGAGAAGCGUGGCGUCAUAGAAUUUCACGU
This 577-nucleotide unclassified non-coding RNA is filed under the name Dendronephthya gigantea. RNAcentral's name for it is "uncharacterized LOC114539201, transcript variant X2". Lineage: Eukaryota; Metazoa; Cnidaria; Anthozoa; Malacalcyonacea; Nephtheidae. The record is from RNAcentral.